Molecule: long non-coding RNA, 307 nt
Organism: Oreochromis aureus
Lineage: Eukaryota; Metazoa; Chordata; Actinopteri; Cichliformes; Cichlidae
Exons: 3
Source: RefSeq, a predicted model, not a curated record
AGGGCUAAAGGAUAGUGCGGAAGGAAGGCACACACACACAAAUACCAGCCUGAGGUGGGCCUCCUUCCCAGCAGAGGGCCAGACUGGCUGAGAUUCAACAGGAGAAGAGUCACAUACUGAAGUCUAUGACAAAGCUGGUACCGUGAAUUACGAGAGACAGCAGUCACACCCGGACCAGUGUUAACUUGUAGCACCGCUGGUUUCUGAACCUACCUGCCAACUCUCAAGUGGUCGGAGACGCUCCAGUUCCAGCUCCUGUGUGUGCAGACUUCUCUGAGCUUUUUCCAGCUGAGAGCGCAGGCGCUGC